RNAcentral lists this ribosomal RNA (1258 nucleotides) under Bacillus velezensis. Its description in RNAcentral is "bacterial SSU rRNA". It matches the Rfam family "Bacterial small subunit ribosomal RNA", at positions 76 to 1323 of the family's 1533-position model. The record is from RNAcentral. Lineage: Bacteria; Bacillati; Bacillota; Bacilli; Caryophanales; Bacillaceae.
GAGCUUGCUCCCUGAUGUUAGCGGCGGACGGGUGAGUAACACGUGGGUAACCUGCCUGUAAGACUGGGAUAACUCCGGGAAACCGGGGCUAAUACCGGAUGGUUGUUUGAACCGCAUGGUUCAGACAUAAAAGGUGGCUUCGGCUACCACUUACAGAUGGACCCGCGGCGCAUUAGCUAGUUGGUGAGGUAACGGCUCACCAAGGCGACGAUGCGUAGCCGACCUGAGAGGGUGAUCGGCCACACUGGGACUGAGACACGGCCCAGACUCCUACGGGAGGCAGCAGUAGGGAAUCUUCCGCAAUGGACGAAAGUCUGACGGAGCAACGCCGCGUGAGUGAUGAAGGUUUUCGGAUCGUAAAGCUCUGUUGUUAGGGAAGAACAAGUGCCGUUCAAAUAGGGCGGCACCUUGACGGUACCUAACCAGAAAGCCACGGCUAACUACGUGCCAGCAGCCGCGGUAAUACGUAGGUGGCAAGCGUUGUCCGGAAUUAUUGGGCGUAAAGGGCUCGCAGGCGGUUUCUUAAGUCUGAUGUGAAAGCCCCCGGCUCAACCGGGGAGGGUCAUUGGAAACUGGGGAACUUGAGUGCAGAAGAGGAGAGUGGAAUUCCACGUGUAGCGGUGAAAUGCGUAGAGAUGUGGAGGAACACCAGUGGCGAAGGCGACUCUCUGGUCUGUAACUGACGCUGAGGAGCGAAAGCGUGGGGAGCGAACAGGAUUAGAUACCCUGGUAGUCCACGCCGUAAACGAUGAGUGCUAAGUGUUAGGGGGUUUCCGCCCCUUAGUGCUGCAGCUAACGCAUUAAGCACUCCGCCUGGGGAGUACGGUCGCAAGACUGAAACUCAAAGGAAUUGACGGGGGCCCGCACAAGCGGUGGAGCAUGUGGUUUAAUUCGAAGCAACGCGAAGAACCUUACCAGGUCUUGACAUCCUCUGACAAUCCUAGAGAUAGGACGUCCCCUUCGGGGGCAGAGUGACAGGUGGUGCAUGGUUGUCGUCAGCUCGUGUCGUGAGAUGUUGGGUUAAGUCCCGCAACGAGCGCAACCCUUGAUCUUAGUUGCCAGCAUUCAGUUGGGCACUCUAAGGUGACUGCCGGUGACAAACCGGAGGAAGGUGGGGGAUGACGUCAAAUCAUCAUGCCCCUUAUGACCUGGGCUACACACGUGCUACAAUGGACAGAACAAAGGGCAGCGAACCCGCGAGGUUAAGCUCGCCCGUCACACCACGGAGAGUUUUGUAACACCCCGGAAGUUCGGGUGA